GACGAACGCUGGCGGCGUGCUUAACACAUGCAAGUCGAACGGAAAGGCCCUGCUUUUGUGGGGUGCUCGAGUGGCGAACGGGUGAGUAACACGUGAGUAACCUGCCCUUGACUUUGGGAUAACUUCAGGAAACUGGGGCUAAUACCGGAUAGGAGCUCCUGCUGCAUGGUGGGGGUUGGAAAGUUUCGGCGGUUGGGGAUGGACUCGCGGCUUAUCAGCUUGUUGGUGGGGUAGUGGCUUACCAAGGCUUUGACGGGUAGCCGGCCUGUGAGGGUGACCGGCCACAUUGGGACUGAGCUACGGCCCAGACUCCUACGGGAGGCAGCAGUGGGGAAUAUUGCACAAUGGGCGGAAGCCUGAUGCAGCAACGCCGCGUGCGGGAUGACGGCCUUCGGGUUGUAAACCGCUUUCGCCUGUGACGAAGCGUGAGUGACGGUAAUGGGUAAAGAAGCACCGGCUAACUACGUG
This 468-nucleotide ribosomal RNA is filed under the name uncultured bacterium. Its description in RNAcentral is "partial 16S ribosomal RNA". It matches the Rfam family "Bacterial small subunit ribosomal RNA", at positions 28 to 507 of the family's 1533-position model. The record is from RNAcentral.